GAUGAACGCUGGCGGCGUGCUUAACACAUGCAAGUCGAACGGUGAACGGGGGUGCUUGCUCCCUCCGGGUGAGUGGCGAACGGGUGAGUAACACGUGAGCAAGCUGCCCCGAACUCUGGGAUAACUGCUGGAAACGACGCCUAAUACCGGAUACGACCCGCUAGGGCAUGCUCUCCGCGCGCAAAGAACUUCGGUUCGGGCUGAGAUAGCUGCCCAUGAGCUUGUUGGUGGGGUAAGGACUCACCAAGACGAGGACGGGUAGCCGGCGGGAGAGGGUGAACGGCCCCACUGGGGCUACGACGCGGCCCACUCUCCUACUGGGGGCGGCAGUGGAGAGUAUUGCGCAGUGGGCGGCGACCGGAUGCUGCAGCACCGCGGCGGGGAGGGCGACCUUCAACUUGUAGACCACUUUUGGCCUGGAAGAAGAGAAAGUGACGGUAGCUGCAGAAUAAGCACCGGCUAACUACGUG
RNAcentral lists this ribosomal RNA (470 nucleotides) under uncultured bacterium. Its description in RNAcentral is "partial 16S ribosomal RNA". It matches the Rfam family "Bacterial small subunit ribosomal RNA", at positions 28 to 507 of the family's 1533-position model. The record is from RNAcentral.